RNAcentral lists this long non-coding RNA (820 nucleotides) under Mus pahari (shrew mouse). RNAcentral's name for it is "RIKEN cDNA 1700040F17 gene (MGP_PahariEiJ_G0002747.1)". The record is from RNAcentral. Lineage: Eukaryota; Metazoa; Chordata; Mammalia; Rodentia; Muridae.
GGAGGUGUUGAACUUCUCAAGACUAUGAUGGCUGAAAGUGGCCUCAUAGAGAUCCAAUAAAACAUGCUUGACUCCAAGACAUGUAUACUACCAAAGACCUGUUCAUUUCAAACAUUACAUGGUGAGUAUCCAUAAGACAUAACUCCAGUCAACCAGAAAAGAAAAUAACACCUGAUACAUUUCAUGGCUUUGACCACUCCAGGCUUCAGUAUGGCAAAAGCAACCAGGAAAUCACAGGAUCCUACACCAGAUGUUGAGUCAUCAACCUCAAGUGCCAAGUCCAAGAAAGCUCGCCAUCAACCCCAAACCAGACCUGCUGGCAAGAAGAGUUAUCAGACCAGUUCCAAAUUAGUGGGAAGGUGCAAAAGACUACCAAUAAGGACAAGAAAACCCUGCCACGGAUCCCAAGGAGAAAGAUUUCUGAGAAGACUACACUGCCUACAAAAAAAAAAAAAAAAGACUUAAAAAGUCAAGGGAAAAGCACUAUUCGGUCACUACCACCUCCUGAUGGAAGAGAUCACAACUAGUAUUGAGACACAGCCGGACCAUAGCAGAGUAGAGAGCUCCAGUGUUUCCACGAGUGACAAGGAAAGCCAAUAGCCUCCGAAUGCCACCAAAGACCUAGAAACCCAUUCAAAGGUCUGGUACCUGAGCAUUGUAAAACUGUGUAGACUGAGUAUUUACUACACAAUGCUUUGACGCUGAUGAAAAUAAAAUCAAUCUGAUAUGAAAAAAAGUUACAUUUAAUAUGGACAAAAAUAAGGCUUAUUAUUGUUAGAUUGCCAAGUCAUGGCUUUAUUGAAUGAAGAACUAUGACUGC